AUGGACAACCAUAGACUCUCCUGAUCUCAUCUAAACUCUAAAGCUAAGCAAGGUUUGGCUUGGUCAGUACUUGGAUAGGUGACCACCAGGGAAUGCAAUUUGCUCAUC
Molecule: ribosomal RNA, 108 nt
Organism: Sinocyclocheilus anshuiensis
Lineage: Eukaryota; Metazoa; Chordata; Actinopteri; Cypriniformes; Cyprinidae
Source: Ensembl